AGAACGAACGCUGGCGGCGUGGAUAAGACAUGCAAGUCGAACGCGAUUUAUCGAGUUAGCAAUAACUUGGUAAAUUGAGUGGCGAAAGGGUGCGUAACACGUGGGAAUUUACCGAGAAGUGGGGAAUAGCUUGACGAAAGUCAAAUUAAUACCGCAUGUGAUCGAAAGAUCAAAGCCGGGGACCGCAAGGCCUGGCGCUUCUUGAGAAGCCCGCGGCCCAUCAGCUAGUUGGCGGGGUAAAAGCCCACCAAGGCUAUGACGGGUAGCUGGUCUGAGAGGACGACCAGCCACACUGGAACUGAGACACGGUCCAGACACCUACGGGUGGCAGCAGUCGAGAAUUUUCACAAU
This 351-nucleotide ribosomal RNA is filed under the name uncultured bacterium. RNAcentral describes it as "SSU rRNA". It matches the Rfam family "Bacterial small subunit ribosomal RNA", at positions 26 to 372 of the family's 1533-position model. The record is from RNAcentral.